This 2311-nucleotide long non-coding RNA is filed under the name Homo sapiens (human). Its description in RNAcentral is "HSALNT0047478". The record is from RNAcentral. Lineage: Eukaryota; Metazoa; Chordata; Mammalia; Primates; Hominidae.
CAGCUCCUCCGAGAUGGGUCAGAGCUCUAUGGGGAGCCCCAGGUGGGCAUCUAGAUGGUGAAGAGCCCAAAGACUCUAGAAGUGGGUUCUCGGGACUUGCGCAUGCGUACAUGUGUUUAUAUGUGUAUACAUGUGUUUAUAUGUUUGUGCAUGGGUGUUGUGUCCAUGUGUUUAUAUGUGUGUGCAUGUGUUUGUAUGAAUCAAUGUGUACUGUAUGCAUGUGUGUUUGUGUGUGCGUAUGUAGGUUUGUAUGUGUGGGAGAUGUAUUUGUGUAUGUAGAUGGGAUGUGUGUGUCAAUGUGUAUAUGUGUACAUGUAGUGUACUUGUAUUCAUUGUCUAUUACUUUUUUUAAAAAUCCAGUUUUAGCAAAGAAUAUCUAUGGCUUAUUGCUACAUGACAAAUUACCCCAAAGCUUAGUCGCUUAAACUAUAAACAUCUAUUUCACAGUUUCUGUGGACUGGGAAUCUGAGAGAGGCUUAGCUGGGUAUUUUUGGUUCAGGGUCUCUCUUGAAGUUGCAGUGAAGAUGUUACUCAGGGUUGGCUGUAGUCUUCUGAAGGCUUGCGUGGGGCUAGAGGAUCCACUUUCAAGAUGACUCACCCUCCUGGCAAGACGAUGCUGGCUGUUGGCAGGAGGUCUCAGUUCCCUACCACAUCAGCCUCUCCAUAUGGCUGCUUGAGUGCCUCAUGACACAGCAGCUGGCUUCCUCUGGAGUGAGUGACCUGAGAGAGAGAGAGAACCAGGCAAAAGCCACAGUGUUUUUAAAACCUAGCUUUGGAAGUCCCAUGCCAUCAUUUCUGCCAUAUUAUACUGGCCACAGAGACCAACCCUGAUACACUGUGGGAGGGACUACACAAAGGCAUGAAUUCCAAGAGCCAGCUGUAUUGAUAAACUCUCUCAUUACGCCUGGGUGACAGAGCGAGUCUCGGUCUCAAAAAUAAAUAAAUAAAUAACUUAUUAAUUCAAAUAGUAUAACUUUUGGAUUUUCUACAUAACAAAUAAUAUAAAAAGAAAGUUUUAUUCCUCCCUUUCCACCUUUCUUUCAUUCCUUUUCUUGUUUUAGUACAUAGCUAAAGACCUAGAGUAAAAUGCUGAAUCGUAAUAGAAUAGCAGACAUCCUUAUCUAAAAAUCUCAGAAGAAUUCUAACUUAGUUUCAGUUUUCCCAGAAGCAGACCCGGAGACAAGGAUCUGUGUACAGGAAUUUACUGGGAGGGAGCUGUGGUAUUCAGACACAGAGUCUUGCCAGUUAUUGUUUAGAGCUGCUGUGGGAUGGAGCUUGAAUUCCCCAGCACUUCCAACUGCCAUGGGAGUGGAAAACUGUAGUCAAGCAGCAAAGAAAGCCCUCAGGCAAGAAGUGCAGAUGCUGGCAGCUGAAAACGGUAGUGUGUACACUGAAAUGGUAAAAGUGACGGAUACAGGUAAGUUGCCAACAGUGUCUUCUACAAACCCCUUCAACAUUUUACUGCAUUAACAAGUAACAUUUGCAGUCCCCAUAGGAUAACGGCAGCUGCAUAAGUCCAGCCUUUCUAGACACGCUCCUAAAAUCAUUUUGUCAAUGAAGAGAGAAAGAAGGGGAAGAAUACACAUAAUUGCUGAGCAUGGUGGCUCACACCUGUAAUACCAGGCCAAGGUGGGGGGAAUUGGUUGAGUCCAGGAGUUCAAGACCAGUCUGGGCAACAUAGUGAGACCGUGUCUCUACUAAAAAUUAAAAAAAAUUAGCUGGGUGUGGGGGCGCAUGCCUGUAGUCCCAGCUGCUCAGGGGGACUGAGGCAGGAGGAUCACUUGAGCCUGGGAAGUUGAGGCCGCAGUGAGCCAAGAUUGCAUCACUGCACUCCAGCCUGGGCAACAGACCAAGACACUGUCUCAAAACAAACAAACAACACACACACACACACACACACACACACAAUCCAUGCUUACAGCAUAAUUAGGAGACAGAAAACACCACAAACUAUGAUGGUAAAAUGUUGCCACCUGGCCACUGUUACUCUGAAGUCCUACUAUCACCAUUAACAUCAGGGAGCUCAGUUCUCUGGUAGCAUUCCCUACUGUGAACCCUGGCCUACAAAGGACAGCCACCACUCAGUCAAAGUCUAGUAACUGUCAUACUACAGCAUGCAGGGUUUACCACCACCACACUUAGCAUUAACAAACAAAUAAGAAUCCUGGUACUUAGAAAAUACACAGAAUAGACUAAGUUAAGGAAAAAGGAGAAUGGACAAAUACAAGAGAAAGAAGGAGGAGGAGGAGGAAAAAAAAAGGAGAAAGAGGAAGAGAAGAUAAAAGGGGCUGGGCGUGGUGGCUCACGCCUA